GAUGAACGCUGGCGGCGUGCCUAAUACAUGCAAGUCGAGCGAACAGAUAAGGAGCUUGCUCCUUUGACGUUAGCGGCGGACGGGUGAGUAACACGUGGGUAACCUACCUAUAAGACUGGGAUAACUUCGGGAAACCGGAGCUAAUACCGGAUAACAUUUGGAACCGCAUGGUUCUAAAGUGAAAGAUGGUUUUGCUAUCACUUAUAGAUGGACCCGCGCCGUAUUAGCUAGUUGGUAAGGUAACGGCUUACCAAGGCAACGAUACGUAGCCGACCUGAGAGGGUGAUCGGCCACACUGGAACUGAGACACGGUCCAGACUCCUACGGGAGGCAGCAGUAGGGAAUCUUCCGCAAUGGGCGAAAGCCUGACGGAGCAACGCCGCGUGAGUGAUGAAGGGUUUCGGCUCGUAAAACUCUGUUAUUAGGGAAGAACAAAUGUGUAAGUAACUGUGGACGUCUUGACGGUACCUAAUCAGAAAGCCACGGCUAACUACGUG
Molecule: ribosomal RNA, 497 nt
Filed under: uncultured bacterium
Lineage: Bacteria
Description: partial 16S ribosomal RNA
Rfam family: Bacterial small subunit ribosomal RNA
Source: RNAcentral